RNAcentral lists this ribosomal RNA (288 nucleotides) under Daphnia magna. RNAcentral's name for it is "partial 12S ribosomal RNA". The record is from RNAcentral. Lineage: Eukaryota; Metazoa; Arthropoda; Branchiopoda; Diplostraca; Daphniidae.
UCCUAAAAUAAGCUUACUAACAAAUCCACCUUCACCCAAAUUAUAAUUUUAAGAUCCGUAUUUUUUUUAAAAACUGUAGCUCACCAUUUCCUUCACAUAAACUGCACCUUGACCUGAAGUAAAAAGAUUAAUUUUAUAGAAAACAUCCUUUUGGAGUAAUCUGACAACGGAGGUAUACAAGUUAAACAAAUGAAGGUAAGAUAAAACGAGGGUUAUCGAUUACAAGACAAGCUCCUCUGUUUGGUUAGAAUGCCGCCAAAACCUUUGGGUUUGAAGAACAACUUUUAC